UUGGCAGGCGGGUGGGUAGGAGCGUGCGGUGGGAUUGGCCAACCCUAUCCACCAAUCCCCCGUCCGCCUCGAGCCCCGCAUCCCUCCUUCCCUGCGCGCUCGGCCGGCUCCGGCAGCAGCCGCCUCCUCUCUUCUUCACCUCCGGCGGCUAGCGCGGUGUAGGGAGCGUCGAGCGCCACCGCGCAUAUGGCAGCGGCGACAGCCAGGAUGCUGGCCCUCGGCCAGGAACGCUGCGGGCAUGGCUUCUCCUCUCCUCCCGAUUCGCCUCCUCUUCUUCGUGCGCGGCGAACGCGACAGCCAUGGCCGCUCCUCCCGAUUUGCCUCCUCUUCUUCGUGUGCGGCGGCCGCUGCAGCUCCUCGCGCCGCCCUCCAUCCACCCUGCCUCUCUUGUUUUCCUCCUCUCUCAGAUCAGGCGCCGUUGCUCGCCGUGGUUCCAGAUCGGGGCGGAGUUCGCCGCCAUUGAGGAGCAGGGGAGGGCGAGGCCCGGGGCUCCACCGCAGCGCGCGCUACACUGGUGCCAGGCUGCAUCUUCUCCUACCCACGUAAACAGCGAGCAGAGGCGUAAUCACGCAGGUGCUAGGUUGCAGGCGAUGAUGAGCUCCUGAUGGUCUACACGGUCCCGCUUUGCCAUGGAGGCUAAGCAAACCUUGCCUCUAGCUAAUUGGUCUUUGAAACUGGAAAGCUGUUCAUAUAUAAGAUUCCUAGGUCUAUUAUUUUCGACAACUCCUUGGUCUAGCUCGCCGGAGUCCUCCCCUCAAUCUCUGCUCUCCUCUCUCUGGCGCACACCGAAGAAGAAAGGAAGAAGAAGAAGAUACAGUGGAGACACAGGACACGGUGGAUUUCCGGCGCACAUACGCCUGCCGCACGAACGGCAAUUUUCUUGAGCACGAACUCGACUCCAUGGCGAUUACAAUGAUCAACAUAGGGCUUUUAUAGCCGGCUGGACACAGGUUGCUGCUGCAAGGUGCAGCAGCAGGGGAGAGGAAGGAGGUCUGUGAUAGGGGGAAAGUGCAGGCUGGCCCUUGUUCAUAGGUUAGCCAUUGGAUCUGGAUACUCAUGUUAAAAUUGCAAGUUUCCACAUGUAGAUUUUAUUGUUUGAAGGCAAAGAAAAUUGCAGCAUGAGCAUAAAGACAAUUUAGCCGGGGGUACCCAAACUGAGAGGGAGGUUAGCAGCAAAUGAAAGACCGCAACUUAGGCUUCCAUGUCUCCCUACUGUUCAGUUUAGACCUCCGAAGGUCGAAGGCCAUGGAACACUAAAUAACCUGGCAACGGAUACCCUGUGGUCUACCAUUACAAUUAUCUGUGCAUUUUGGAUCUAUUGGAUGUCUGAAUGUAAUGCUAAUCGACAUUUACUGAUGCAAAGAUUUUGCAGGGAUGUAGAUAUAUAUUGUGAUGUUUCACUACGAUCUUCAAGUGUUUCAGUUUGUAUUUAGCAGGAUCACAUGUUGACCAAUGACUCUUUGUUUUCUCACUGAUCCAGUAUACUCAAGAACUUGAAUAUUGUGUUUGCUGUGAGUUAUUGACAGUUCCUUGAUUUUUGCAACUCAGGAGUGAAGAUGGCCUUCCUUUGGUAGGCGUAGUGAAUGAAUUUUCUUCUAAUUCAGGCCAUGGUUGAUACCGCUCGGCGUCUGGAUCUGCCAUGGAGUGGCUACCAUGGGCCAACCAGAGCUGGGUGCCCCUGUUUCCGACCUCGAGGCGAUUAGAUUAGAGUCUGAUUAAUUAUGUAUCAUUCGGUCCUUCCUUUGGCUAUUAAUCUAUUGUGGUCUACUUUUCAAGCUCAUACAACAGGUUUAUAUUGAAUUAAAUUUUGUAUAGAUAGCUGUAGCGAUUCUAGCGGAACAUCUUCAAGCUUAAGUUGCUGAACUGAUAUAGCUUGUUGUGUAAUGCAUCUUGAUACCAUACAUGUAAACUAGUUUAGGAAAUUGUGUUGUUCUGAGAUAAUUUCUUAUUUGAAAACAUUACCAACAUAGGCAUGUUACCUUCACACAGGGAAAAAGUUAUUUUGUGACCUAAAGAUAUGAUUUAUGGGCCUACCUCAAUAUCUCAGGAGUUGUCCUUUCCUUGUUAACCCUGUACACUUCACAAGGCCCAUCUGUUCAAGGUAGAGAUAAUGAAAGAACAUCAGAAGGACUGAGCAACAGGAGGAACUUCAUCGACCCAGCCAUGAGCAUAUGAUGCUCUGGCGAGUCGAUGAGGACCGUCAUGGAGAUCUGCCCGCGGGGCCUGACCAAGGAACCAAUGCUGAGGCCGUUAGACGAGGACGUGCUCUAGAACCUGCAGUUUGCAGCCCUGGUGUAGGAUGACUGGAACUGCGAGGAGUCCCCGCUCUCAUCGUCACAGAUCCGUGCACAAUCCGCAGAGUACUAACCUCUAGCAUGGUUGAGAAAAAAUAUUGGCAAGCAUUACCAUUAUGAUCCUCCAUCGAUCAUCAGUGUUGAAGGAAUUUCUGUUUCUCUUCAUAUAGGAUACAGAUAUGUGAUUCUCAUGUGCUCCUUUUGCUGGAAACUUGCUAAUCUUAGGGGUGCUGCUACAGGUGUAAAAACCGUUUUAUCAAAAGAACUAAAGUAGUAGCUAAUCCAAGUAUUGAAGAAUUGACGCAUAAAGUUACGGUAUGUUGGCAUGAAGUCAGAGCAGCGCCUGAAGACUACACAAGAUAGUUUCUGGUGACCUUCAGUCUAUAUGUCCUAACCAACAGCAACCACCUUUUGUUUCGUAUCAAUAGAUCCAGUAUCUUUGCCCUUUUGGCGUUGCUCUGAGCAAGAUAUGUAUAGCCUUUAGAUUUUCAUUCAUGUAUGAUACUGCAUGUACACUUUAGACCUCAUUACUGUCUCUGUGGUCAAAAGAAGUUUGUGAUCAAUUGUUCUAUAUAUGUAAUCAACAGCCCUUCUACUAAUAUUUUCAUAAGACUAUUUAUAUAUGUUUACACUGGUUAGAGAAAAUCAUGACAUUGCCAGCUGCAAUUUAAUAUUUCCAUAUGUUUCAGUCUGUCUCUAAAUAUGUUUAUAGAUAUGUUUAUGUGUACUCUUUCAAUACUUGGCUUGCUCUUGCCCUUUGCGCCAUUGGCGCAACGGGUCAUCUAGUUAGAUGAAAUGUGUCUUGGUAGGUGGUACCUUGAUUUGGUAGAUAACUUAUUACAGAUCUUAGGAUUAUACCUUUGGUAGGGGUCAAAUAGUUUUUUCGGCAAUAGGUGCCACUGAAAUGCUUUCGUAGGUGAUACCUUGUCAUCUUGUAUGUUACUAGAUCUUAGGAUUAUAAUUGUCCAUCAAAUUGCUUCUCGCGGAAGAAUCUCAUCAUCAAAUUGAGAGCUUGUUGUUUACUUUUUGGGAUCGGGUUCCACUAUGAAAAUAUAACUGAAGAAGAACCAAAAAUAUCACAUGCUACUGUUUUUUUCUUUCCUGUGAAGUGGAUCGUUAAUGCUUUGCUCAUAUUGCUUUAGGAAAAUGGCGCCACCACCACCACCACCAUGUCGACUGUGCAAGUCAAGGUGCGCCAGCAGCCUUGCAACUGGCAAGCUGUUC
Molecule: long non-coding RNA, 3518 nt
Organism: Triticum aestivum (bread wheat)
Lineage: Eukaryota; Viridiplantae; Streptophyta; Magnoliopsida; Poales; Poaceae
Exons: 10
Source: RefSeq, a predicted model, not a curated record